GCCGACGUAGCUCAGUUGGUAGAGCAGCGCAUUCGUAAUGCGCAGGUCGCGGGUUCGAUUCCCUCCGUCGGCA
RNAcentral lists this transfer RNA (73 nucleotides) under Vulgatibacter incomptus. It matches the Rfam family "tRNA". From Rfam's summary of the family: Transfer RNA (tRNA) molecules are approximately 80 nucleotides in length. Their secondary structure includes four short double-helical elements and three loops (D, anti-codon, and T loops). Further hydrogen bonds mediate the characteristic L-shaped molecular structure. tRNAs have two regions of fundamental functional importance: the anti-codon, which is responsible for specific mRNA codon recognition, and the 3' end, to which the tRNAs corresponding amino acid is attached (by aminoacyl-tRNA synthetases). tRNAs cope with the degeneracy of the genetic code in two manners: having more than one tRNA (with a specific anti-codon) for a particular amino acid; and 'wobble' base-pairing, i.e. permitting non-standard base-pairing at the 3rd anti-codon position. Lineage: Bacteria; Pseudomonadati; Myxococcota; Myxococcia; Myxococcales; Vulgatibacteraceae. The record is from Rfam by way of RNAcentral.